This 381-nucleotide ribosomal RNA is filed under the name uncultured soil bacterium. Its description in RNAcentral is "bacterial SSU rRNA". It matches the Rfam family "Bacterial small subunit ribosomal RNA", at positions 26 to 398 of the family's 1533-position model. The record is from RNAcentral.
AGGAUGAACGCUGGCGGCGUGCUUAACACAUGCAAGUCGAACGAUGAAGGCUGGAGCUUGCUCUGGCUGGAUUAGUGGCGAACGGGUGAGUAACACGUGAGUAACUUGCCCCAGACUCUGGGAUAAGCGCUGGAAACGGCGUCUAAUACCGGAUACGAGCUUCCACCGCAUGGUGAGGAGCUAGGAAAGAAUUUCGGUCUGGGAUGGACUCGCGGCCUAUCAGCUUGUUGGUGAGGUAAUGGCUCACCAAGGCGACGGACGGGUAGCCGGCCUGGAGAGGGUCGACCGGGCCACACGUGGGACUGGAGACCGACCGGCCCAGACCUCCGUACGGGAGGCAGCAGGUAGGGAAUAGUUGACAACGAAUGGGACGACGAAGCC